Molecule: ribosomal RNA, 490 nt
Filed under: uncultured bacterium
Lineage: Bacteria
Description: partial 16S ribosomal RNA
Rfam family: Bacterial small subunit ribosomal RNA
Source: RNAcentral
GAUGAACGCUAGCGAUAGGCUUAACACAUGCAAGUCGAGGGGCAGCAUGGUCUUAGCUUGCUAAGGCUGAUGGCGACCGGCGCACGGGUGCGUAACGCGUAUGCAACUUGCCUCACAGAGGGGGAUAACCCGUCGAAAGACGGACUAAUACCGCGCACACUCUAUGUUGGGCAUCCAAUGUAGAGGAAAUGAAAUUCGCUGUGAGAUAGGCAUGCGUCCCAUUAGCUAGUUGGUGAGGUAACGGCUCACCAAGGCGACGAUGGGUAGGGGAACUGAGAGGUUGAACCCCCACACUGGUACUGAGACACGGACCAGACUCCUACGGGAGGCAGCAGUGAGGAAUAUUGGUCAAUGGGCGAGAGCCUGAACCAGCCAAGUCGCGUGAAGGAUGACUGUCUUAUGGAUUGUAAACUUCUUUUAUACGGGAAUAACAAGAGUCACGUGUGGCUCCCUGCAUGUACCGUAUGAAUAAGCAUCGGCUAACUCCGUG